This 862-nucleotide small RNA is filed under the name Histoplasma capsulatum. Its description in RNAcentral is "hypothetical RNA". RNAcentral also lists the same sequence under 1 other name. Lineage: Eukaryota; Fungi; Ascomycota; Eurotiomycetes; Onygenales; Ajellomycetaceae. The record is from RNAcentral.
GGAAGCUGAUUGAUGGGAUGUCCGUACGGGGAUAUUCGUGCCUCCUUCAUGUGUAUAGCUGUAAUCAUCGUCGGAGUCCAGAUGGACGACGCCGUGUUCGUCUUCGUAGCCUGGUGGGCGUGAGGGCCGUGAGGGCCGUGACGACGGAGGAGGAGGAGGAGCAAGGGGAGGAGAACGAGAAACGGGGAAUUGAGGCUGCGGAGGAGUGGAUUCCGGUUGGAUAUCAGCACCUCCAUUCUCGAAGUACAGCUGCAUAGCCGUUUCGAGGUUGCCGUCGGUCAGCUGCAGAUACCGGGCAGCAACCUCUGGGGAGGAACCCGUGAUCUCGGUGAACCCUGCCACCGCAGCAUCCGCCAUGGCUGAGGGGGAUGUCGGAUUUAUCUGGAUCUAUGCGAUCUGGGCGUAUUUUAAGAGGAGUUGUGGGGCGGAUAUGAGGGGAAUAGGGGAGGAUAGAAUGUACGAGGUAGGUGGAGGAAGGAGAAGCAACGAGUUAAGAGCAGGCUGCCUGUUUAUGGGGAGGGGCAUUCAAGGCCCAGGGAAGCAGCACGGAGGAACACAGCAAGAGUAGAUGCAGCAAAAUUCAGCAGACAAAGGUUCAUAAAAGAUAGAAAAUCGGGAGAAUCAAGGCAUUGCUGUCUAGUGCGAAGCUUCUAGGGUCUACGGCAGUUGGCAGGAAUAAAAAAGGGGGACUGGGAGCUGGUGUGAAGAAAUGAAGUUUCACGCAUCCGCAAAGAUUUGUCUGGUUCUCAGGCAGAUGAGCAGUGACGCUAUUGUGGAUGAAUCAGCAGAGGGGACCGGCAUCCGGAUCAUCAUUAUUCCUUCCGCCCGGGUAAACUUGCAGCAGUUGAAUAGUGCAUACGGG